Molecule: non-coding RNA, 2019 nt
Organism: Oryza sativa Japonica Group (Japanese rice)
Lineage: Eukaryota; Viridiplantae; Streptophyta; Magnoliopsida; Poales; Poaceae
Source: RefSeq, a predicted model, not a curated record
UCUCACCUGCACGGAAGAUUUUAUUAAUUAAUGGGAUGUAUUCUCCCCUUCUCUCAUCAUAUGCUUCCCACUGUUCUAGUUCCAUUCCACUGACAAGGACGCUUGAUGAUUAGUAGUAGUACGAUUUACGAGUGCUAAUGGAAUUCCGCGUAUACUAAUCGUCCUCCGGUAGUAGUAGCAGUAGUACGCUCGGUUCGUGGAACCCCACUCUCCAAUCCCCAAAAGCAUCCACCCCACGGCGCGAGAUCCCAACUGCGGCCGCGGGAUUCUUCGGAGGAGUGGUGAUCGCCAUCGGGGUAUGGAGGCGGCGGCGAAGCUGAAGAGGAGCAUAUCGCGGCAGCUGUCGUCGGGGGCGGCGAGGGUGUGGCGGCAGCUGUCGCUGGAGCCGGUGUACACUCCGCGGCGGGCGGGGGCGGUGGGCGGUGGUGGUGGAGGAGGUGGAGGAGGGGGAGGGGGAGGGGGAGGGGCGAGGCCGACGAGGUUCGGGCUCGCGAGGCAGUCGUCGCUCGACCCGACGCCGCGGGAGGGGGGCGGGGCGGCGGAGGAUGGGUCGGGGGCGGCGGCGAUGCUGGCCGUGCCGGAGAACCUGGACGCGACGAUGCGGCUGCUGUUCGCGGCGUGCCAGGGGGACGUGGCCGGGGUGGAGGAGCUGCUCAGGGACGGGGUGGACGUCGACAGCAUUGACCUCGACGGGCGCACGGCGAUGCACAUCGCCGCCUGCGAGGGGCAGGGGGAGGUGGUGCGCCUGCUGCUCAGCUGGAAGGCCAACAUGAACGCCCGCGACCGCUGGGGCAGCACGCCAGCGGCAGACGCGAAGCAUUACGGGCACUUUGAAGUUUACAACCUUCUGAGAGCAAGAGGAGCAAAAACUCCGAAACAAAAGAAGACCCCGAUGACAGUUUCAAAUCCCAAAGAAGUUCCGGAGUAUGAGCUGAACCCACUUGAACUCGAGUUCAGAAGAGGAGAGGAAGUUACAAAGGGUCACUAUGUUGCCAGGUGGUAUGGAUCCAAAGUGUUUGUUAAGAUACUUGACAAAGACAGCUUCUCAGACGCCAAUAGCAUAAAUGAAUUUAAACACGAGCUUACUUUACUGGAGAAGGCCCGCCAUCCAAAUUUGGUCCAAUUUGUGGGAGCUGUUACACAAAAUGUACCAAUGAUGAUUGUUUCAGAGUAUCAUCAAAAGGGUGAUUUAGCCAGUUAUCUUGAAACAAAAGGUCGCUUGCAGCCUUACAAAGCUAUCAGAUUUUCCCUUGACAUUGCGAGGGGAUUAAAUUAUCUCCACGAGUGCAAGCCAGAGCCAAUCAUCCAUGGCAAUCUGUCAACAAAGUUGCAGAAGCAUUGUGCGGGAUGAUGAAGGGAAACUUAAAGUGGCAGGCUUUGGCUCACGUAGUCUGAUUAAAGUCUCAGAAGAUAAUCCACAAAUGGAUCAGACGACAUCAAAAUUUAACAGUGUAUACACCGCUCCUGAGAUGUACAGAAAUGGAACGUUUGACAGAAGUGUAGAUGUAUUUGCAUUUGGUCUCAUUCUUUAUGAGAUGAUUGAAGGAACUCAUGCUUUCCACCCAAAACCACCGGAGGAGGCGGCGAAAAUGAUUUGUUUGGAGGGUAUGAGACCACCGUUCAAGAACAAACCCAAAUACUAUCCUGAUGAUUUGAGAGAGCUUAUACAGGAGUGCUGGGAUCCAACACCUUCGGUCAGGCCGACGUUCGAAGAGAUAAUCGUACGCCUGAACAAGAUAUCCACGAGUUUUACUAAGCAGACUCGGUGGAGAGACACUUUUAAGUUACCAUGGAAACAAGCUUCAGAGAGAUAGCCUGGUUGCCGUCAAGAUUUCCGCCCUUUUUGCAUAUGUGAGUAAACACGGUGAAAAUUGUAUCGAGUUGUCGAGGAGAUAGUGGUCAUUUUUCACGUUUUUGUAUUUCCAAAAAAUAUUUGUAACUAUAAUCAGCCCGCUUUUACUUUCUUAUGAAUUAUAUCAUUUUUAACUGGAAUAAUGUGUUAAUUUUCUGAACGUUCAA